RNAcentral lists this transfer RNA (72 nucleotides) under Streptococcus gordonii. RNAcentral's name for it is "tRNA-Glu". It matches the Rfam family "tRNA". From Rfam's summary of the family: Transfer RNA (tRNA) molecules are approximately 80 nucleotides in length. Their secondary structure includes four short double-helical elements and three loops (D, anti-codon, and T loops). The record is from RNAcentral. Lineage: Bacteria; Bacillati; Bacillota; Bacilli; Lactobacillales; Streptococcaceae.
GGUCCGUUGGUCAAGGGGUUAAGACACCGCCUUUUCACGGCGGUAACACGGGUUCGAAUCCCGUUCGGACUA